RNAcentral lists this unclassified non-coding RNA (200 nucleotides) under Mycena sp. Its description in RNAcentral is "partial internal transcribed spacer 2". Lineage: Eukaryota; Fungi; Basidiomycota; Agaricomycetes; Agaricales; Mycenaceae. The record is from RNAcentral.
UUAAGUUCAGCGGGUAGUCCUACCUGAUUUGAGGUCAAAUUGUCAAUAUAGAUUGUCUCGAAGAGACGGUUAUGAGCAGGUCCCCACAAGUCUUGUAUCAGAGUCAGGCGGCGUAGAUAAUUAUCACACCAAGUGACCAUCCACAAAGGAAUCCACUAAUGAAUUUAAAGGGAGCAGACCAUCCAACUGAAGGAAGCCAG